RNAcentral lists this ribosomal RNA (425 nucleotides) under uncultured bacterium. RNAcentral's name for it is "bacterial SSU rRNA". It matches the Rfam family "Bacterial small subunit ribosomal RNA", at positions 354 to 796 of the family's 1533-position model. The record is from RNAcentral.
GUUAGGAAUAUUGGACAAUGGGCGCAAGCCUGAUCCAGCUAUGCCGCGUGAGCGAUGAAGGCCUUCGGGUUGUAAAGCUCUUUAGCCGACGAUUAUAAUGACUGUAGUCGGAGAAUAAGCCCCGGCUAACUUCGUGCCAGCAGCCGCGGUAAUACGAAGGGGGCGAGCGUUGUUCGGAAUCACUGGGCGUAAAGCGUGCGUAGGCCGUUCCGUAAGUUGGAAGUGAAAGCCCGAGGCUUAACCUCGGAAUUGCUUUCAAAACUGCGGAACUAGAAUUCGGGAGAGGAUAGCGGAAUUCCCAGUGUAGUAGUGAAAUACGUAGAUAUUGGGAGGAACACCAGUGGCGCAAGCGGCUAUCUGGACCGACAUUGACGCUGAGGCACGAAAGCGUGGGGAUCAAACAGGAUUAGAUACCCGUGUAGUCC